Long non-coding RNA from Paramisgurnus dabryanus, 2056 nucleotides. RefSeq lists it as uncharacterized. NCBI's taxonomy places the organism in Eukaryota, Metazoa, Chordata, Actinopteri, Cypriniformes, Cobitidae. The record is from RefSeq and is a predicted model, not a curated record.
UGGAGGACUUUUAUUAUGCUUUUAUUUUCAUAUUAUUAUGUUUUAUUUUUCAUCCUAUUUUUCAUUUUUUAAUAACAAUCUGAAGCUCACAAAUUGUGAUUCAUAUGGAGAUCAUGUUUUUCUGCUAACGUACAGAAUUAUGCUCUUUCUGUCUUUUCAGCAAGUACAAUGUCCAAGGAAGGACUUAAACAUCAUGUACCAGCAUGUACUGUCCUUUAUGAUUAUGUUUAACGGUUUUUGCUCUUAAUCACUGACAACUGAAGGCUAUCUUCUAAAUGACGUAGAAACGGAUGAUUGUACGUGUUUCACCAUCUUACUAUAAAUGUGUCUUCAACCUUGUGAUCGGGGCUCUUAGGUUUUUAAACUUCUUGCACCAUGGGGGUGAGAGCCUAUUCUGCAGAAUAUAUAAAAUUCAGACAAAGAAAAUUCUGUCGACAGUGUGUCUGUGUGAUCCUUGACUUUGACUCUUAGUGAGUAUUAUUUGAUGCGGCUAAAAUUCCACGACAAUAAUGGCGACGAGGAUGGGAUUCCACAGCUGUAGACUCCAGGUUUGGGAGAGACUGACUGAUCACCCCUGAGACAAGAGGUCUCGGGCUCCGUACCCCAGGCCUAAGGGAAGGGAGAGUCUCAACCAGUUCUGAAGUCAAGGCUGACGGAAUCUGGAAAAGAACCGUUGUGGUGGCAUCUGAAUAGAUAAUAUGGUCAAAGCAGCCCUACCACGGCCCGCUGAGGGACCGUUGCAUAACAUCAAACCAGGUGAUUUCGUAUUGGUGAAAAACCUGAGGAGGAAAUCCUGGAAAGCCAGAUGGUGGGAGGGGCCAUUUCAGGUUCUGCUGACGACUCACACCACUGUGAAGGUCGCGGAGCGUGCCACCUGGGUGCACGUUGCCCAUUGCCGGAGGGUUGGUCCUGGACUGCAAGGUGUAAACCAAAGGGAGGACGGCUAGUCGACUGCUACGGACCACUUUUUCGUAUUGGUGGGAACCACAGAUACCUGUAUACUGCAAGUUUAUACGAAGAACGACACGAGAGAACUGCAACAGCUCACAAAGUAUUGGAGGACGACUCCAGUAUUCUGGGUUUGGUUUGGACACACGCACACGACAUCUUUAAUGUGGGUAAUCGACACGACGCUUGCAGCUUAAUAACUGUAAUUACAACACCAGCUUUGAGACCCCACAUUAAUUUAGACACUAAGAUAAUUUCAUUCGAACAAGAAAGCAGGAUAGCUUGGCACGACUGCACCGUGUGGUCCUACCAAACCCGAACCUACAAAGGAAAUUAAUCAACAAGGGCUCACGACCCCAACUCUAACUGUGCUCAGGGCUCACGACCCCAACUCUAACUGUGCUCAGGGCUCACGACCCCAACUCUAACUGUGCUCAAUCCGGAAUCAUCAAGGGCUCACGACCCCAACUCUAACUGUGCUCAAUUUCUUCAAGAAAACGAACUAUUUUUCUUCUUUCAAAAAUGAGGUUCAUGAUCAUACUAUGUGUGUGUGCAUUUUUACUUUUGCAACUGCACAGAACUAUAUGUACACUAUGGUUAAGGGUAAUAACCAGAGCUACGUAACGAUGACAGUAAAUGAAGUUAUGAAUAAAUCAUAAAAAGGGAGGAGUGUAGUGGAGGACUUUUAUUAUGCUUUUAUUUUCAUAUUAUUAUGUUUUAUUUUUCAUCCUAUUUUUCAUUUUUUAAUAACAAUCUGAAGCUCACAAAUUGUGAUUCAUAUGGAGAUCAUGUUUUUCUGCUAACGUACAGAAUUAUGCUCUUUCUGUCUUUUCAGCAAGUACAAUGUCCAAGGAAGGACUUAAACAUCAUGUACCAGCAUGUACUGUCCUUUAUGAUUAUGUUUAACGGUUUUUGCUCUUAAUCACUGACAACUGAAGGCUAUCUUCUAAAUGACGUAGAAACGGAUGAUUGUACGUGUUUCACCAUCUUACUAUAAAUGUGUCUUCAACCUUGUGAUCGGGGCUCUUAGGUUUUUAAACUUCUUGCACCAUGGGGGUGAGAGCCUAUUCUGCAGAAUAUAUAAAAUUCAGACAAAGAAAAUUCUGUC